RNAcentral lists this long non-coding RNA (315 nucleotides) under Prunus persica (peach). RNAcentral describes it as "long non-coding RNA (PPER_LNC007026)". Lineage: Eukaryota; Viridiplantae; Streptophyta; Magnoliopsida; Rosales; Rosaceae. The record is from RNAcentral.
AUUAAAUUGGACAAUUCAGAGUCGUACGAAGUUCGUUCUGAAAUAGAGUGGUUGGUGUGUUUUAUAGUUCUAGAGAUUGAAUUUCACUCAAAAAUCAUCAAAUGACUCCUCCCACCGUAUUAUGACGUUCCCCAAGUUUUGGACACAAUCCGAUAUCGGUUGGUCCAUGAAAUUGGACAAUUCAGGUUCGUACGAAGUUCGUUAUGAAAUGGAGUGAUUAGUGUAUUGCAAAGUUCUAGAGAUUGCAUUUCACUCAAAACCCACCAAAUGACUCCUCCCACCAUAUUAUGAUGUUCCCCAAGUUUUGGACUCAAU